Molecule: ribosomal RNA, 492 nt
Filed under: uncultured bacterium
Lineage: Bacteria
Description: partial 16S ribosomal RNA
Rfam family: Bacterial small subunit ribosomal RNA
Source: RNAcentral
AGUGAACGCUGGCGGUAGGCCUAACACAUGCAAGUCGAACGGCAGCACAGUAAGAGCUUGCUCUUACGGGUGGCGAGUGGCGGACGGGUGAGGAAUACAUCGGAAUCUACUUUUUCGUGGGGGAUAACGUAGGGAAACUUACGCUAAUACCGCAUACGACCUACGGGUGAAAGCAGGGGAUCUUCGGACCUUGCGCGAUUGAAUGAGCCGAUGUCGGAUUAGCUAGUUGGCGGGGUAAAGGCCCACCAAGGCGACGAUCCGUAGCUGGUCUGAGAGGAUGAUCAGCCACACUGGAACUGAGACACGGUCCAGACUCCUAAGGGAGGCAGCAGUGGGGAAUAUUGGACAAUGGGCGCAAGCCUGAUCCAGCCAUACCGCGUGGGUGAAGAAGGCCUUCGGGUUGUAAAGCCCCUUUGUUGGGAAAGAAAAGCAGCAGGUUAAUACCCCGCUGUUCUGACGGUACCCAAAGAAUAAGCACCGGCUAACUUCGUG